UACGAAGGGUCCAAGCGUUAUCCGGAUUUAUUGGGUUUAAAGGGUGCGUAUGCGGCUUAUUAAGUCAGACGUGAAAUCCCUCGGCUUAACCGGGGAACUGCAUCUGAUACUGGAUGGCUUGAGUUCGGGAGAGGGAUGCGGAAUUCCAGGUGUAGCGGUGAAAUGCGUAGAUAUCUGGAGGAACACCGGUGGCGAAGGCGGCAUCCUGGACCGGCACUGACGCUGAGGAGCGAAAGCCAGGGGAGCAAACGGG
RNAcentral lists this ribosomal RNA (253 nucleotides) under uncultured bacterium. RNAcentral describes it as "partial 16S ribosomal RNA". It matches the Rfam family "Bacterial small subunit ribosomal RNA", at positions 524 to 776 of the family's 1533-position model. The record is from RNAcentral.